CACAAACAUUGUCCGCAAUUGCAACCGAAGAUUUUUGGAUGAACCACAGAUGAUUGGAUGAAGGCUUUCAGUUGUCCAGGCCAGGCCAGGUGACCAAUGACGAUGAUAGAUCGGGUUCGAUUCAAGCUAUACGCUUGGUGUAUUUGGUUAUCGUGACUGGCGACUUGAGUCUAACUCAUCUCAUGUCCAAAGCACGGUGGCUGAGUCCCAGGCAUGCUUGCCACUUUGUUCCACGGUCCUCAUCUAUGUUUCAACGGUGAUGACAUGGACUUAGGUUCAAGGUACAUGUUCCCCUUGAGUCAUUGUGGUUGAUUGAUGGGGGCAAUAAACGGUUGCGUGUCGCUAGUCAUUCACAAUAUCGCCUGUUGUAGAGUGUUGAUGGGAUUAGUCGUACGAAUGUUAACAAUAGUACGCAAUAGCCGGCCGGCGUCCCCCUACCUGAUCUCGAGGGUGAUGGAAUGACUGGGGUUAAGACCUGUUGUUAGCCUGCGGAAUUUCGUCGAACGAAAUGUCAGGCGUGUCCGUGUGGUACUUGUGCUAAACCAGUUUAGUGCUAAUGACAGAGACAUUGGGCUCUUUGGAUAACAACAGUGUUCUUAACCUCCUUGUGCUUCACAAAGCUAAAAAUAUACACCCCCUGAAAUUGACAAGACGGCGAUGAAGAAGGAGAGCCGGCCUCCAGCUUGUCAGCCAAGAAGACACUGGAAGGACCCAAGGAUAUGUUGCUGCCAAUGUUGGAGCCAUACAUGGCAGCUCGAACCAACAUUGUACAAGGGCUGCAAAGUCGAGGGAAAUAAGGACAAGGGACUCGAGGACAAGGGACACAAGGACAAGGGACAAAAAAGACGAUGUUGCAGUCUAGAGGCCCUCUGCAGAUUGAGAUGAUGGCUGUCGAGAAGACCCAACCACUCAACCAAGAUCUACAAUUCGUGCUAUGGUAGAUGUGACUCUCAAAGAUUUUUGAUGAUGAAAGAAUCUAACGCAUAUAUGUCGCUCACAGAUACGGGCAGACGACCGAGGGUCGAGUGGAUUCAGAGGAUCAAAUGGUUGCGCUGAGGGAUAUGUGCAGGAGUGACGAACCACAGUUCAGCAAACGAUGCCUUGACAGACCAAUUCAAGGGGAACCUUCGCUAAGAUCAGGAAGGGAACGUGUUUGCUGUGGGGAUGGAUUGAACACUUAAAUGGCCGUCAUUCUAAUAGACUAUAAUGACAAUCUUCUGAUGGACUAUAAUGACAAUCCAACUCCGAAAGGACUCUCUGGACUUAGGGAAAGCUACGGACAUAGAGCCCUGACAUGAUCCUGCAGCCACCAUAGGACAGCCUAUCUCAUACCUUCGGAAGGAUGCCAUCACACGCAUGAUGAGCCAUCCCACAGGAGGGAGAAGGAUGUUGUUGACCCAGCACAUCCCAACCUUUCUCCCAUCGCCGUCAAGUAACAGUACGACGGUUAGAUUGUAUUUUGUCACCGCAGGCCUUAUCUUUUUAUCAAAAUAUCUGAUUGAAAGGUGAUUUAACGAAAAUUUUAAUUUUUCUGAUGGUGGGAAGGUAAAUAUUUACCUUGCUAAUGACAAGCAUAGAUUCUUUUAAUCUAUGCUUGGUUAUGACCAUGACUUAUAAACACCAUGGUUCAAAAUUUUACACCUUUAUCCAAUGAAGGAAUUGAAAUUAUCAUUAUGGGUGGUUGGGCUGUUUCUAGCUAACAAGGGAGCCAAUAAGGCAUGCCAAAACCCAAACAAAAUAAUUUUA
Lineus longissimus is the source of this 1746-nucleotide long non-coding RNA. RefSeq lists it as uncharacterized. The record is from RefSeq and is a predicted model, not a curated record. The transcript has 6 exons. NCBI's taxonomy places the organism in Eukaryota, Metazoa, Nemertea, Pilidiophora, Heteronemertea, Lineidae.